AUUGCUUCUUGGCCUUUUGGCUAAGAUCAAGUGUAGUAUCUUAGUGUCAUUACACGAAAAGCAUCA
This is a small nuclear RNA of Monodelphis domestica (gray short-tailed opossum), 66 nucleotides long. Its record names the gene U2. It matches the Rfam family "U2 spliceosomal RNA". From Rfam's summary of the family: U2 is a small nuclear RNA (snRNA) component of the spliceosome (involved in pre-mRNA splicing). Complementary binding between U2 snRNA (in an area lying towards the 5' end but 3' to hairpin I) and the branchpoint sequence (BPS) of the intron results the bulging out of an unpaired adenosine, on the BPS, which initiates a nucleophilic attack at the intronic 5' splice site, thus starting the first of two transesterification reactions that mediate splicing. The record is from Ensembl. NCBI's taxonomy places the organism in Eukaryota, Metazoa, Chordata, Mammalia, Didelphimorphia, Didelphidae.